RNAcentral lists this ribosomal RNA (497 nucleotides) under uncultured bacterium. Its description in RNAcentral is "partial 16S ribosomal RNA". It matches the Rfam family "Bacterial small subunit ribosomal RNA", at positions 28 to 507 of the family's 1533-position model. The record is from RNAcentral.
GAUGAACGCUGGCGGCGUGCCUAGUACAUGCAAGUCGAGCGAACAGACGAGGAGCUUGCUCCUCUGAUGUUAGCGGCGGACGGGUGAGUAACACGUGGAUAACCUACCUAUAAGACUGGGAUAACUUCGGGAAACCGGAGCUAAUACCGGAUAACAUGUUGAACCGCAUGGUUCAACAGUGAAAGACGGUCUUGCUGUCACUUAUAGAUGGAUCCGCGCCGCAUUAGCUAGUUGGUAAGGUAACGGCUUACCAAGGCAACGAUGCGUAGCCGACCUGAGAGGGUGAUCAGCCACACUGGAACUGAGACACGGUCCAGACUCCUACGGGAGGCAGCAGUAGGGAAUCUUCCGCAAUGGGCGAAAGCCUGACGGAGCAACGCCGCGUGAGUGAAGAAGGUCUUCGGAUCGUAAAACUCUGUUAUUAGGGAAGAACAAAUGUGUAAGUAACUAUGCACGUCUUGACGGUACCUAAUCAGAAAGCCACGGCUAACUACGUG